RNA transcript from Anolis carolinensis (green anole), 1694 nucleotides. It is a transcript of the gene named glia maturation factor gamma, with no coding region annotated. Lineage: Eukaryota; Metazoa; Chordata; Lepidosauria; Squamata; Anolidae. The record is from RefSeq and is a predicted model, not a curated record. The transcript is spliced from 7 exons.
AAACGUUGCUAAGGAUUUCCGCUUCCAAUAGAAAAGCGCUUUCUAUUUUUUAAGACCUCCCACCACCACGGCGUCCUCUCCUUUUUUGAGCCCCCUUCAACUUCUUUCCACAUUUCCCCGCCCCCUUUUCCCCAUUUCGCCAAUGAGAUGUUUACAAAGGCGGGCUUUGUCCGCGAGGUGUUGCCUGAGCGGCCAAUAGGGAGCGAGGGGAUGGAAUGGGGGCGUGGCUUCAGGCGUGGCGUUCGUUUUCUCUUCAGGAGGAAGGACUACUCAUGGGCGCCGCUUUUUCCCGCCCAAAGCUCCUCCUCACACAAAACUCCACCUUCAAUUCCGCUUUCAGUUCGGGAAAAACAAUAAAGGAAAACCCUAGAAAACUACAAAUCCAGACUGCAAAAAGAAGAUUAAACCAAAAGUUGCAGGCUUUCAGCUAGCAAGAAGGCUCCCAAGGAAAAGAAUGUCGGACUCUCUGGUUGUGUGCGACAUGGAUCCGGAGCUGAUGGAGAAACUGAAGAAAUUCCGCUUCCGGAAAGAGACCAACAAUGCAGCUAUUGUCAUGAAAGUAGACAAAGAAAGGCAGCUGGUGGUACUGGAAGAAGAAUUUCAGGAUAUCUCUCCAGAUGAGCUGAGGAACGAACUACCAGAACGGCAACCUCAAUAUCCUUCUUGUACUUUUGGAAGGGAAACGGAAUCGUUUUGGGCCUGAAAAGUGACACUGUUUUUGUUUAAAGACAAGAUAACAUUGUCCUUCUGUAUACACAUAGUUGUUUGACUCAUAUUCUCAGAGACCAAGGUCCCAUUUGCUUCCUUGACUAUUGUGUCCUGUACCUUUAUCGCCUAUAGCUAUAAAUACAUCCAUGAAGAUGGGCGCAUCUCCUACCCGCUCUGCUUCAUAUUCUGCAGCCCAGUCGGAUGUAAGCCUGAGCAGCAGAUGAUGUAUGCGGGCAGCAAAAACCGCUUGGUGCAGGCAGCUGAGCUCACCAAGGUCUUUGAGAUCCGUUCCACUGACGAUCUGACGGAGCAAUGGCUGAAAGAGCGCCUGGCCUUUUUCCGCUAAUGGAAGCGGAGGGACCCCAAACACGGCACAAUCUCAUCCCUUUCCCCAUACUUCAGAAUGGGAAUCCUGCGGUUCCCAGCGGCCACCCUUGCCAACAUAUAGUAAGGAAGGCUGGAGGUUGUGCUCCAAUCACAUCUGUAAAUCAUAUGCUUUGCACCCUUGCUAUAAAGUCAACAUCACUCCAUAGUUGUGAAAGGCAGGAAAUAGAACAAUAAGAAGUGGAUGCAGGUGGAGAAUGUUUAAAGCAGAGAAUUUAUUCCAGUAGGAAAGAAAAAUAGUAGUUUGGGGAAAAGAAGACCUGGGAAUUAGAUUUGCAUAUAUACUCAGCAUUGUGUUGUUGAAGGCUUUCACGGCCAGACUCGCUGGGUUGCUGUGAGUUUUCCAGGUUGUCUGGCCAUGUUCCAGGAGCAUUCUGUCCUGACGUUUCACCCACAUCUUUGGCAGGCAUCCUCAGAGGUUGUGAGAUAUGUUGGAAACUAGGCAACAGUUGGAUUUAUAUAUCUGUGGAAUAAUGUCCAGGGUGGGAGAAAGAACUGUCGAAGGCAUUGGCCACCUUGCUAGGCAUUGAAAAGCCUUGCAUCUUCAAAGCCUGGCUGUUUUCUCCCUGGGGGAAUCAUUUGUUGGGAGAUGUUAGGUGGCC